GACGAACGCUGGCGGCGUGCUUAAUACAUGCAAGUCGAACGGACAGGCCCUGCUUUUGCGGGUUGCUCGAGUGGCGAACGGGUGAGUAACACGUGAGUAUCCCGCCCCUGACUUUGGGAUAACUUUUGGAAACUGGGGCUAGUAUCGGAUAGGAGCUCCUGCUGCACGGUGGGGGUUGGAAAGUUUCGGCGGUUGGGGAUGGUCUCGCGGCUUAUCAGCUUGUUGGUGGGGUAGUGGAUUACCAAGGCUUUGACGGGUAGCCGGCCUGAGAGGGUGACCGGGCACAUUAGGACUGCGGUACGGCCCAGACUCCUAUGGUAGGCAACGGUGGGAAAUAUUGCGCAAUGGGCGGAAGCCUGAUACAGCAGCGCCGCGAGCGGGAUAACGGCCUUCGAGUUGUAAACCGCUUUCGCCUGUGACAAAGCGUGAGUGACGGUAAUGGAUAAGGAAGCACCGGCUAACUACGUG
This 468-nucleotide ribosomal RNA is filed under the name uncultured bacterium. Its description in RNAcentral is "partial 16S ribosomal RNA". It matches the Rfam family "Bacterial small subunit ribosomal RNA", at positions 28 to 507 of the family's 1533-position model. The record is from RNAcentral.